GAUGAACGCUAGCUACAGGCUUAACACAUGCAAGUCGAGGGGAAACGAUAGGGAAAGCUUGCUUUUUCUAGGCGUCGACCGGCGCACGGGUGAGUAACGCGUAUCCAACCUGCCCAUCACUUGGGGAUAACCUUGCGAAAGUAAGACUAAUACCCAAUGACGUCUCUAGAAAACAUCUGAAGGAGAUUAAAGAUUUAUCGGUGAUGGCUGGGGAUGCGUCUGAUUAGCUUGUUGGCGGGGUAACGGCCCACCAAGGCGACGAUCAGUAGGGGUUCUGAGAGGAAGGUCCCCCACAUUGGAACUGAGACACGGUCCAAACUCCUACGGGAGGCAGCAGUGAGGAAUAUUGGUCAAUGGACGAGAGUCUGAACCAGCCAAGUAGCGUGCAGGAUGACGGCCCUAUGGGUUGUAAACUGCUUUUAUAAGGGAAUAAAGUGAGUCUCGUGAGACUUUUUGCAUGUACCUUAUGAAUAAGGACCGGCUAAUUCCGUGCCAGCCGCCGCGGUAA
Molecule: ribosomal RNA, 508 nt
Filed under: uncultured bacterium
Lineage: Bacteria
Description: partial 16S ribosomal RNA
Rfam family: Bacterial small subunit ribosomal RNA
Source: RNAcentral